Long non-coding RNA from Topomyia yanbarensis, 2237 nucleotides. RefSeq lists it as uncharacterized. The transcript is spliced from 3 exons. The record is from RefSeq and is a predicted model, not a curated record. NCBI's taxonomy places the organism in Eukaryota, Metazoa, Arthropoda, Insecta, Diptera, Culicidae.
ACAAAAAUUGUUGCGAUAUAGCAUAUGAUUUGUCAUUUGAACGACAUAAAAACUCAAUGUUGACGAUUUCGAAUGGCAAUCAUCUAAAAAAUGGUGGAUUCAAGAUCGAAUGACUUCAUGUCUGUAUUGGAAUGAACAGUCUGUGAUAUUCGAAGGAUAGACAUAACGCCAUAUGAAUUAUUUGCACCCAAAAAAGUAAACGAUGGUGCUUAUUAUUAUCAUCUCAACUAACAGUAGUUGAUCAUUCGUGUUUCAUCUGUUUCCAGUGUUUGGGCUGGCUCGAAAGACAGUCAUUUGAAGCGCUUCAUGCGUUUGCGAGAUAAGUUUUUUCAUUGUUUCUGUGCAGUCGCAAAAAGUCAGUUCGCGACAUCAAAACGUGAAAAUACUGCUGCUUGUCAUCUUCAAGACUAACGUACCCUAGAAAAAUUGCUUUGGAGCUGAUUUCCUGGUAUUGGGAGAGAAACUAGCGUCCGGAUCAAAGGAUUUAUUUGCAUAUUUUCGAGCAAUGCCACUGACAUGGUGUCUUUCAACAUACAGGGAAUAGCCGUUAUUUAGUGCAAAUAACUGGUCAAAGCCAUAGUAUGCAAGGCAAAAAGGGAGUACUGGAAAGGGAGUGAAGUAUACAAUAGGAUGGAUGCCAAAUAGCUGUCAAUUGAUGACUAUGUUGAUCGAAACUAUUAUUCUGGUGAAAUGGUGGCACUAACGAUUCAAUAUCGUACGGGAAUCACAGCCCUAGGAACCACGAGUCCCGAGAGAUUGUAGUUACAGGUAUUCCUAUCCCAAGGUUUGGAAAAUUUCCACGCGACCGGCACUAGGUGAUGGCCAAAUCUACUGGUUUCACAUAGCCGUCUUAGUCCCUGAAUCAGAUUCGAGAGCUAGACGGAUCGCAUGAUAUGCAACAUGAGGAGCCAAUGUUCGAUCUGCUUUGGUUCUAUCCCGAUGACCAUGGCGGCUGAACUACAUUGCGCCACAAUGCUGAUUACCUUUGGAAAUGUACAAUCAAUUAAACAAUCUGACGCAGAAAACACCAGCACCGCGCAAACGUAAGAGAUUCUGUGAUGGACCAACGUUGCCGCAAGAGAACACUGGUAGCAAUAGGUUUGUUCCAGUACCAGGAGAAACUGGAAGUACUCCGGAGAAAAUCGUUCCUGUAUUAUCUUCUUUUCUUUUCCUUCUUCUGGUAGCAAAUCGGAGUGAAAAGGAGCAAGAAUUUUUUGUUCCGGAGCAACAGGGAGUGAGUUCCGUGUACUGGAACAAACCUAAUCAUUGUUAGCAGAAAGGAAACCACUCUUUUGCGCUCAAGCAAGAAACCAAGUCACCCAGCAAUUUUUAAGUUUACCGUAAAACUUGAAGGCACUGAGCUAGAUCAGCAACCUCCCGGUGCGAUUGUUAAAAGUUGAUCAACGAUCCAGUAGAAUUACGCACUAGACAAGAGAAUAUGUCCGGAAUUACAAAUUGUGACUCAUCAGAAAAAUAUCUUUAAACAAGCACUAGCUCGGAAACGGUAUCAAUCCAAACUAUGAAAAGUUUCGACUGACUCCGACGCAAAUUCCGGAAACUGCUUCGUUGAUUGCGCGAAUAUUAUAUUCUGGUACUGCUAGGUAAAUUUCACAUUGAAGAAUAAUUCCGUUGCUAGCUGCCAUGAUUCAGCAUCGAGAGAUAGAACCUAUAGUCGAGAUCGAACCAAGAGAGCAAGGCAAACCGUUGUCACUAAACGCCCUAGCACUAAACUAAAACAAGUUAUAUUACACAUAAGACAUAACUUUCUCCGCUAAAGGAAGGCAACAAAUUUUUACCGUUAAAUUUGAAUACUGCGUAAUUGUCUCCCUUCGUUUACUUUCGUAGUCACCGACGUUACGUAACAUGUUUUAACUGAAGAAUUUUUUUCGAAGACUCACGUACCGGGGGAGUAGCGAUAAAAAAAGUUGUGGUUCAGCCGGAAAUGAACUGGAUUUCUGGCUGGUCCCAGUUCGUAUUCUGGCUCCAGUAACACAACCGAUUCUAAUUAGCCACUGAAGUCGGAAUACGAACUGGAACCAGCCAGAAUUCCGGUUCAUUUCCGGCUGAGCUUAACUGGGUGCUAAAGCUGCAAGAUUGUCAUGGUGACAUUGGUAACGAAACUAUAUUAAGCAAAGUGUCAAAAGUUUGAAUUCAAUGUGAGGUUAUUUUUUAUACUACGGUAGCAUGUUACAAGCAUUUGGAUUGUGUUUUGAUGUUUUUAGAAUAUAUUAUUUUGA